GGGGCUGUAUAGAUUCGACAGGAAAAGAGCCUAACAAUUUCAAGUCGAGUAGGUCACAUAUCUCGUAAAUACUUGUGGCAAAAAUAAGCAACAAAAAUGCUUAUCAACCUGCUUUAGCUGUAGCGUAAGCUUUAGUUUUAGCAGCGUCUUUUCAUUUGUUGACUGAAUGAAUGAAAAAGGCGUCACAAUUCAGUCUGCAUUCUAUCGAGAUAGCUUUCGUAGGUAGGAUUAAGAAAACCAAAGCACAAUUUACGCUUGUCAAUAAUUGUUAAAUCUUUUUUUGGACGCGAGAGCAUUGCUCGCCAGCUCCACCA
RNAcentral lists this transfer-messenger RNA (314 nucleotides) under Patescibacteria group. Its description in RNAcentral is "GWE1-39-12 sp001029735 X1 Standard tmRNA". It matches the Rfam family "transfer-messenger RNA". From Rfam's summary of the family: Bacterial tmRNA, also known as 10Sa RNA or SsrA, is named for its dual tRNA and mRNA-like properties. Its role is to liberate the mRNA from a stalled ribosome. The record is from RNAcentral. RNAcentral also lists the same sequence under 1 other name.